Molecule: long non-coding RNA, 582 nt
Filed under: Androctonus crassicauda
Lineage: Eukaryota; Metazoa; Arthropoda; Arachnida; Scorpiones; Buthidae
Source: RNAcentral
UAGGGAGGGUGUGGAACAAGAGUCAUAGUGUUGAAUGUUAAAAAUUCAUGAGUUUUAAUCAAUGAUUGCACCAGUGCAUGUCAUGGUGAAGCCAAUUUUCCUUGAACCACAGUUCUGACUUCAAAUAGCAUUCCAGUCAUGUCACAAACUUCUCUGAUUGUUAAUGUCAUUUGGAGCCAGAAUUAUGGCUCAAGCAAGACUGGCUUCUCCACCAUGACAAUGCACAGGCAUACUCAUCGAUUAAAACUCCUUGAAUUUUUGACAUUCAACACCAUAACUCAUUCUACACUCUCUCUAUUCACUGGAUUUAGUUUCUAUGUGAUUGUUUUAUUCCCAAAAUGAAAUUGAAGCUCAAGAGGUGAAGUUUUGAGGCAGUAGAAGAGAUUGAAGCUGGCUGAACCACAGGUGAUAUUGAUCAGCUUAAGAAAGACGACUUUGGGGGUCUUUUACAAACAUGGUAGGAAUGCUGAAUUCACUGUAUUGAUGUAGGAGAUGUUUUUGAAGGCAAUGGACCCCAAAAAGUAAUUUUUUAGUAAUAAAGAUGUAUUUAAAGCCAGUCUAGUUACACAGUGGUAUCUCGAC